UUCCAGACUCCUACGGGAGGCAGCAGUGAGGAAUAUUGGUCAAUGGGCGCGAGCCUGAACCAGCCAAGUCGCGUGAGGGAUGACGGCCCUACGGGUUGUAAACCUCUUUUGUCGGGGAGCAAAUUCCGCCACGUGUGGCGGAGUCGAGAGUACCCGAAGAAAAAGCAUCGGCUAACUCCGUGCCAGCAGCCGCGGUAAUACGUAGGGGGCAAGCGUUAUCCGGAAUUACUGGGUGUAAAGGGUGAGUAGGCGGCAUGGUAAGCCAGAUGUGAAAGCCUUGGGCUUAACCCGAGGAUUGCAUUUGGAACUAUCAAGCUAGAGUACAGGAGAGGAAAGCGGAAUUCCUAGUGUAGCGGUGAAAUGCGUAGAUAUUAGGAGGAACACCAGUGGCGAAGGCGGUCUGCUGGACAGCAACUGACGCUGAGGCGCGAAAGCGUGGGGAGCAAACAGGAUUAGAUACCCGAGUA
Molecule: ribosomal RNA, 467 nt
Filed under: uncultured bacterium
Lineage: Bacteria
Description: bacterial SSU rRNA
Rfam family: Bacterial small subunit ribosomal RNA
Source: RNAcentral